Non-coding RNA from Podarcis lilfordi (Lilford's wall lizard), 2534 nucleotides. The record is from the annotation of a GenBank genome assembly. Lineage: Eukaryota; Metazoa; Chordata; Lepidosauria; Squamata; Lacertidae.
CCUGCGCAUUUGAGAAACAAGCUGUUAACGAAUCACACUUGCUCUGCAUGUAGUUCGCUCGAGUUGUGCACUGUGUCAGAAGCGUCUGCGUUAGUUAAUCUGUAAAAACUGGCAGCGGCCACAUGAUCACAGAAGAAAUGCAUCCAGCCUUUUCCAGUGGGGAUGCCAAGGCUUACAAAGCACCAAACCAGCUUAUGGAAACACCGUACAAUGUCCUAGAUGCUCUCCCUGCUACGGAAAAUAACGUAAGCCUGCGGGGUGGUGGGAGAGAGACCUAACAGUUACAAAAAUAUUAUUUUAAGUAUAUUGGUCAAGUGUUGAAAACUGGACGGAAUGUGCUGGAAAACAGGUCAAGUGUUCAAAAGUAGUCGGACUCGUGAUGGCACAAUUUGGCGGCAGUCCUGCAUCCAAUUAGUCAUGUGUUAACAGUCUUUUUGUUAACAGUCUCCUAGGACUGAAAGUGGUGGGGGCGGGGGGAUUUAAAUUGUUUUUCUCUUCCUAUCCCACAGUAAUUUUCACAGUCAUUACAUAGUUGCCUGAUAAAGAGCUUUAAGUGGUCUAACACACAGCGUUCGUCUGGCAGAAUUGUUGAAAGGGCUUGUCUUGAUUCCCUGAAGUAGCCUAACCUGCAAUGAACUACAUGAUCACCACAUUAUUUUAAUAAUAAUAAUAAUAAUAAUAAUAAUAAUAAUAAUAAUAAUAAUAAAUUCUGAUAAAUGUAUCGGUGAUCCACUCACAUCAAGCCAGGCAUUGCUGCAUCAUGCAAAGAGCACAUUUUCAACCCAUUUCUUAAUGUUUGUGUCAGUACACAGACCUGUGGCACAGCUGUAACACAACUUCUCUUUCAUAUGACUUUGCACUAAGUGUCCUGCGAGUGGGACACAGUUCUCUUAAUGUGCUUUUGUAGCUGUAUCAAAUUGACAGGGGAGACAUUGAAAAUAAGCCACUCAUGAGCUGAAGACCCACUGGUACUGAGAGCAAUUCCCCUGUCUGCUAACCAAAAACACGAGAGAGACACCCUUUCCUUGAGAAUAAGGAGAGUAUUUGUUAAAAAGGGUUGAAAUUGUAUCAGGUGUUUAUUUACAAGGGAGCUCAUUGUGCAUAAAAUGCUCAUUAGGGAUUGCACAGGGCUUUUGUUCAUUAAACAGGUACGAUUACCAUCAUUUCCAUUCUAUUUAAUGAGAGCUUUUGUAGUUCAAAUAUUGGGUCGUUCCUUUCCCAGCUAUUCCUGUGAACGUCUUCAUGGAGUAAACAGGAUUUGUAUACAACAGUGCUGAGGCUCUAAAUGGAUUUAGCGUAAUUGUUCAGUCAGACUCCCAGUUACUGCUAAUGUGCGACAGAAAACCCGACUGUAUAUCCAUUUAACCAACAUAGUGUUGAAAUUAAAAGCACCGCAGGACUGAUUGGGGGUCUGCGCAUGAGAAAAUGGCCAAGCAGGAAAUCAGUUUAGAAGUGUCCCAUAUGUUACCGGCAAAGUCAAUCAUCUGGGUAUGAUUACGCAGGCAUCACAUAAAGGAAACUGCAUUAAAUGGCUAGUAAUUAAGUCCAGAUUAUGGCCCUGAAAACACUCACUCAUACACUUAGCUUUGAAUUCAAGGAGGCUGCAGUUUUAACCCGGUUGCAGGAUUAGAGCCUUACAUAUGUUUUGGAGCUCCAUGAAAUUGUGGAAAUGGAAACUUUGCUUGUAAACGUUUUCAUCCAAGAUGCUUAAUAAUGCUUUUUUCUUUUCUUUUCUUUUCUUUUUUUUGUAUGUGUGUGUGGGAGUUAUGCAUAAAUGCUUUGUGAAGACAUACAGGAAAUCCAUUACAUGGCAGGAAAGGAGCCGUGUUGUGAAAUGCUGAAGAGAAAAGAAUUCUGCAGAUGAAAUGAUUGCACCGACUUCCUGAUUUUUGAUCCAGCUGCCCAAUUAAAAGAAACUGCCCCUGGAGGAUAGGCCGAAAUGGUAUGGGCUAGCUUAUUCUUUACUAAACCUUUAUAACAACGCUGCAUGAGGCCGGGCGAUGUUCCGGAAAUCACGUUUCAUCAUUUGUUCCACUGAAGUGUGCAACAGGGUGUGGCUGACUGUUACCAAGGCGUUUUAAACUUAUCCAAUACAGUGGUACCUCGGGUUAAGUACUUAAUUCAUUCCGGAGGUCUGUUCUUAACCUGAAACUGCUCUUAACCUGAAGCACCACUUUAGCUAAUGGGGCCUCCUGCUGCUGCUGUGCCGCCGGAGCACGAUUUCUGUUCUCAACCUGAAGCAAAGUUCUUAACCUGAAGCACUAUUUCUGGGUUAUCGGAGUCUGAAACCUGAAGCGUAUGCAACCCGAGGUACCACUGUAUACUUCAAGCACAUAUAUUACAGCCUAACUAUACAUGACCUCAACAGGGUAGUUCUGCCUUUGAGAUUCAGGGCUUUGACCAGUGUGGAGGGUCUGGUCCAAAUCAUAACUGCAGCAAAGGAUGGAAGGUUAAAUCCACCUUAUCUCCCACAGUAGGGUCCCAGUCUGGAUCAUUUUCCCCAUACUAGCUAUUUCUGGCCCCUCCAAAAGCCU